This 90-nucleotide transfer RNA is filed under the name Methylococcales bacterium. RNAcentral's name for it is "tRNA-Ser". It matches the Rfam family "tRNA". From Rfam's summary of the family: Transfer RNA (tRNA) molecules are approximately 80 nucleotides in length. The record is from RNAcentral. Lineage: Bacteria; Pseudomonadati; Pseudomonadota; Gammaproteobacteria; Methylococcales.
GGAAAGGUGGCUGAGUGGUCUAAAGCGCACGCUUGGAAAGCGUGUGUCGGGUUACACUGACCGCGGGUUCGAAUCCCGCCCUUUCCGCCA